UCACUUCGGCAGCACAUAUUCUAAAAUUGGAAUGAUACAGAGAAGAUUAGCAUGGCCCCUGUGCAAAUUCGUGAAGCAUUCCAUAAUUUU
RNAcentral lists this small nuclear RNA (90 nucleotides) under Mus spretus (western wild mouse). The record is from RNAcentral. Lineage: Eukaryota; Metazoa; Chordata; Mammalia; Rodentia; Muridae.